RNAcentral lists this ribosomal RNA (749 nucleotides) under uncultured Mogibacterium sp. RNAcentral's name for it is "bacterial SSU rRNA". It matches the Rfam family "Bacterial small subunit ribosomal RNA", at positions 28 to 776 of the family's 1533-position model. Lineage: Bacteria; Bacillati; Bacillota; Clostridia; Peptostreptococcales; Anaerovoracaceae. The record is from RNAcentral.
GAUGAACGCUGGCGGCGUGCCUAAUACAUGCAAGUCGAGCGAGAAGCUUGGAAAUGACGCUUCGGUUGAUUUUCCAAGCGGACAGCGGCGGACGGGUGAGUAACGCGUAGGCAACCUACCCCUGACAGAGGGAUAGCCAUUGGAAACGAUGAUUAAAACCUCAUGACACCGUAGUAGCACAUGCUACAUCGGUCAAAGAUUUAUCGGUCAGGGAUGGGCCUGCGUCUGAUUAACUGGUUGGUGAGGUAACGGCUCACCAAGGUGACGAUCAGUAGCCGACCUGAGAGGGUGAUCGGCCACAUUGGAACUGAGACACGGUCCAAACUUCUACGGAAGGCAGCAGUAGGGAAUCCUGCACAAUGGGCGAAAGCCUGAUGCAGCAACGCCGCGUGAAGGAUGAAGGCCUUCGGGUUGUAAACUUCUGUUCUAAGGGAAGAAAGAAAUGACGGUACCUUAGGAGCAAGCCCCGGCUAACUACGUGCCAGCAGCCGCGGUAAUACGUAGGGGGCAAGCGUUAUCCGGAAUUGUUGGGCGUAAAGAGUGCGUAGGUGGUUACCUAAGCGCAAGGUUUAAAUUAGAGGCUCAACCUCUACAUGCCUUGCGAACUGGGCUACUUGAGUGCAGGAGGGGAAAGCGGAAUUCCUAGUGUAGCGGUGAAAUGCGUAGAUAUUAGGAGGAACACCGGCGGCGAAGGCGGCUUUCUGGACUGUAACUGACACUGAGGCACGAAAGCGUGGGUAGCAAACAGG